GACGAACGCUGGCGGCGUGCUUAACACAUGCAAGUCGAACGGAAAGGCCCUGCUUUUGUGGGGUGCUCGAGUGGCGAACGGGUGAGUAACACGUGAGUAACCUGCCCUUGACUUUGGGAUAACUUCAGGAAACUGGGGCUAAUACCGGAUAGGAGCUCCUGCUGCAUGGUGGGGGUUGGAAAUUUUCGGCGGUUGGGGAUGGACUCGCGGCUUAUCAGCUUGUUGGUGGGGUAGUGGCUUACCAAGGCUUUGACGGGUAGGCGGCCUGAGAGGGUGACCGGCCACAUUGGGACUGAGGUACGGCCCAGACUGCAACGGGGGACAGCAGUGGGGAAUAUUACACAGUGGGCGGAAGCCUGAUGCGACGACGCCGCGUGCGGAAUGACGGCCUUCGGGUUAUGAACCGCUUUCGCCUGUGACGAAGCGUGAGUGACGGUAAUGGAUAAAGAAGCACCGGCUAACUACGUG
Molecule: ribosomal RNA, 468 nt
Filed under: uncultured bacterium
Lineage: Bacteria
Description: partial 16S ribosomal RNA
Rfam family: Bacterial small subunit ribosomal RNA
Source: RNAcentral